This 497-nucleotide ribosomal RNA is filed under the name uncultured bacterium. RNAcentral's name for it is "partial 16S ribosomal RNA". It matches the Rfam family "Bacterial small subunit ribosomal RNA", at positions 28 to 507 of the family's 1533-position model. The record is from RNAcentral.
GAUGAACGCUGGCGGCGUGCCUAAUACAUGCAAGUCGAGCGAACAGACGAGGAGCUUGCUCCUUCGACGUUAGCGGCGGACGGGUGAGUAACACGUAGGUAACCUACCUAUAAGACUGGGAUAACUUCGGGAAACCGGAGCUAAUACCGGAUAAUAUUUCGAACCGCAUGGUUCGAUAGUGAAAGAUGGCUUUGCUAUCACUUAUAGAUGGACCUGCGCCGUAUUAGCUAGUUGGUAAGGUAACGGCUUACCAAGGCAACGAUACGUAGCCGACCUGAGAGGGUGAUCGGCCACACUGGAACUGAGACACGGUCCAGACUCCUACGGGAGGCAGCAGUAGGGAAUCUUCCGCAAUGGGCGAAAGCCUGACGGAGCAACGCCGCGUGAGUGAUGAAGGUCUUCGGAUCGUAAAACUCUGUUAUUAGGGAAGAACAAUCGUGUAAGUAACUGUGCACGUCUUGACGGUACCUAAUCAGAAAGCCACGGCUAACUACGUG